RNAcentral lists this ribosomal RNA (310 nucleotides) under uncultured bacterium. RNAcentral describes it as "bacterial SSU rRNA". It matches the Rfam family "Bacterial small subunit ribosomal RNA", at positions 28 to 334 of the family's 1533-position model. The record is from RNAcentral.
GACGAACGCUGGCGGCGUGCUUAACACAUGCAAGUCGAACGGUGAAGCUCCAAGCUUGCUUGGGGUGGAUCAGUGGCGAACGGGUGAGUAACACGUGAGCAACCUGCCCCGGACUCUGGAAUAAGCGCUGGAAACGGCGUCUAAUACUGGAUAUGACAUCAAGCCGCAUGGUUAUGGUGUGGAAAGUUUUUCGGUCCGGGAUGGGCUCGCGGCCUAUCAGCUUGUUGGUGAGGUAAUGGCUCACCAAGGCGACGACGGGUAGCCGGCCUGAGAGGGCGACCGGCCACACUGGGACUGAGACACGGCCCAG